GAUGAACGCUGACAGAAUGCUUAACACAUGCAAGUCUUUGGCGAAGCUGUGCUUGCACAGCCUAGCCAAGGCGGACGGGUGAGUAACGCGUAAGGAACUUGCCCUGCAGUCAGGGAUAACAGACGGAAACGACUGAUAAGACCUGGUAAAGUCAGGCGGACCCAUGUCCAGCCUGAUGAAAAGAGAUGCUGCAGGAGAGCCUUGCGUCCUAUUAGCUUGUUGGUGCGGUAACGGCCCACCAAGGCGAUGAUAGGUAGCCGGCCUGAGAGGGGGGACGGCCACAAGGGGACUGAGAUCCGGCCCUUACUCCUACGGGAGGCAGCAGUGGGGAAUAUUGGACAAUGGGGGCAACCCUGAUCCAGCAAUUCUGUGUGCACGAUGGAGGUUUUCGGAUUGUAAAGUGCUUUCAGCAGGGAAGAAAAAAAUGACGGUACCUGCAGAAGAAGCGACGGCUAAAUACGUG
This 463-nucleotide ribosomal RNA is filed under the name uncultured bacterium. RNAcentral's name for it is "partial 16S ribosomal RNA". It matches the Rfam family "Bacterial small subunit ribosomal RNA", at positions 28 to 507 of the family's 1533-position model. The record is from RNAcentral.